AUUUUAAAAUGCAUUGUUAGCAUUCAUUCGUUCAAAAUGGUAGACGUUUGGCGGACAGAAGCAGUUAUAUUUAUUUCACUUUGGUUUAGAAUUAUCAAACUAAUAUCACACUUUGAAGAGUUACAAGACAAUCCAUAUGAAUGGUGAAACUAAAAGCAUAGCUUGUGAGAUUUUCCAAAAGAAUAAGUAUUUAUAUGAAAAUAUUAUUUACAUUUAUAAUUAAAAUGGUGCAUGCCUAAAUAAGCAAGUGUCGCCUAAGAUUUUUGUAUUUAUUGGUACAUUAUCUGCAGCCAAUUAAUAACACCAAUUGAAGCAGAUCUAGUAGGUAAACUCCUUAAACUUUAUCGCCUCCUUAGCAUGCCGAAAAGUUUUUGAAGCUUCCCGCAUAAUCAACUCUGUGCCUUGGACUUUUUGCAAGGAUAAGGACUCCAUGAAACAGCAAAAGUACGAAAUAACAAACAAACAAUAAAAUAUUGAGCACAUUAAUGUUUAGUCAGA
Long non-coding RNA from Drosophila sechellia, 498 nucleotides. RefSeq lists it as uncharacterized. Lineage: Eukaryota; Metazoa; Arthropoda; Insecta; Diptera; Drosophilidae. The record is from RefSeq and is a predicted model, not a curated record. The transcript is spliced from 2 exons.